Long non-coding RNA from Hippocampus zosterae (dwarf seahorse), 505 nucleotides. RefSeq lists it as uncharacterized. The record is from RefSeq and is a predicted model, not a curated record. NCBI's taxonomy places the organism in Eukaryota, Metazoa, Chordata, Actinopteri, Syngnathiformes, Syngnathidae. The transcript has 2 exons.
CUCUUCCUGCUCCUCCUCUUGGCUUGCCUGGUAUUUCCUCUGACCGUCCUGAGGCAUCAUGGGAGCAUCUGGACAAAUUUUCUUAAGGGAUUGAAAGGAACUGCAGUUGACGACCGCAGAGUCCGAACACUCACAAUCGUCAUUUCAUCAUUUUGCAUGGGAGCAAAGUCGUACAGUGCAAAUUGACCAAUAUUAAAAGUUCGGGGAAAGUUUUUCAAAACAGAAUGUCGGCGUUGCUUUAAUACCACUCAGUAAUAAAAUAGCCUGUGUAGUCUCAAGCUCCUCUGAACCGCUCAAUUCCAAUUUUUUCAAUCCACCCUAGGUCACUUUCAUGUGUGGUCCGAGAUCGGAUAUGUAUCCGAUUUUACGCAAUGCAAUCCGGACUGAAAGAUUUAAAAGUGAGCGUCAUCCCAAAGUAGUUAGAGGUUAGGAAUGGAAUUCCAGUAUAAACAUAUUCUAUAAAUACUUGAACAUUGUGGACAUGGACUCCGGGCGUGGGGGGGGG